AUACUUACCUGGCAGCGGAGAUACCAUGAUCACGAAGGUGGUUUUCCCAGGGCGAGGCUUAUCCAUUGCACUCCGGAUGUGCUGACCCCUGCCAUUUCCCCAAAUGUGGGAAACUCGACUGCAUAAUUUGUGGUAGUGGGGGACUGCGUUCGCGCUCUCCCCUG
This 164-nucleotide small nuclear RNA is filed under the name Erinaceus europaeus (western European hedgehog). Its description in RNAcentral is "U1 spliceosomal RNA". It matches the Rfam family "U1 spliceosomal RNA". From Rfam's summary of the family: U1 is a small nuclear RNA (snRNA) component of the spliceosome (involved in pre-mRNA splicing). Its 5' end forms complementary base pairs with the 5' splice junction, thus defining the 5' donor site of an intron. Lineage: Eukaryota; Metazoa; Chordata; Mammalia; Eulipotyphla; Erinaceidae. The record is from Rfam by way of RNAcentral.